RNAcentral lists this ribosomal RNA (506 nucleotides) under uncultured bacterium. Its description in RNAcentral is "partial 16S ribosomal RNA". It matches the Rfam family "Bacterial small subunit ribosomal RNA", at positions 29 to 523 of the family's 1533-position model. The record is from RNAcentral.
AGUGAACGCUGGCGGUAGGCCUAACACAUGCAAGUCGAACGGCAGCACAGAGGAGCUUGCUCCUUGGGUGGCGAGUGGCGGACGGGUGAGGAAUACAUCGGAAUCUACUCUGUCGUGGGGGAUAACGUAGGGAAACUUACGCUAAUACCGCAUACGACCUACGGGUGAAAGCAGGGGAUCUUCGGACCUUGCGCGAUUGAAUGAGCCGAUGUCGGAUUAGCUAGUUGGCGGGGUAAAGGCCCACCAAGGCAACGAUCCGUAGCUGGUCUGAGAGGAGGAUCAGCCACACUGGAACUGAGACACGGGCCAGACUCCUACGGGAGGCAGCAGUGGGGAAUAUUGGACAAUGGGCGCAAGCCUGAUCCAGCCAUACCGCGUGGGUGAAGAAGGCCUUCGGGUUGUAAAGCCCUUUUGUUGGGAAAGAAAUCCAUCUGGUUAAUACCCGGGUGGGAUGACGGUACCCAAAGAAUAAGCACCGGCUAACUUCGUGCCAGCCGCCGCCGUAA